UUCUGGUUGAUCCCGCCGGAGGCCACUGCUAUCAGAGUUCGAUUAAGCCAUGCGAGUCGAGAGGUGCAAGACCUCGGCAUACUGCUCAGUAACACGUGGACAAUCUAACCUACGGAAGAGGAUAACCCCGGGAAACUGGGGAUAAUACUCUAUAGACUAUGGAAGCUGGAAUGCUCUGUAGCCGAAAGGUCCGCCGCCGUAGGAUGGGUCUGCGGCCGAUUAGGUUGUUGUUGGGGUAACGGCCCAACAAGCCUGUAAUCGGUACGGGUUGUGGGAGCAAGAGCCCGGAGAUGGAUUCUGAGACACGAAUCCAGGCCCUACGGGGCGCAGCAGGCGCGAAAACUUUACAAUGCGGGAAACCGUGAUAAGGGAACUCUGAGUGCCCGUUAAAUCGGGCUGUCCAUCAGUUUAAAAAACUGGUGAGAAAGGGCCGGGCAAGACCGGUGCCAGCCGCCGCGGUAAUACCGGCGGCUCGAGUGGUGGCCACUAUUACUGGGCUUAAAGCGUUCGUAGCUGGUUUGUUAAGUCUCUGGGGAAAUCUUCCGGCUUAACCGGAAGGCGUCUCAGGGAUACUGGCAGACUAGGGACCGGAAGAGGUGAGAGGUACUCCAGGGGUAGGAGUGAAAUCCUGUAAUCCUUGGGGGACCACCUGUGGCGAAGGCGUCUCACCAGGACGGCUCCGACAGUGAGGGACGAAAGCUGGGGGAGCAAACCGGAUUAGAUACCCGGGUAGUCCCAGCCGUAAACGAUGUGCAUUAGGUGUAUCGGUGACCACGAGUCACCGAGGUGCCGAAGAGAAAUCGUGAAAUGCACCGCCUGGGAAGUACGGUCGCAAGGCUGAAACUGAAAGGAAUUGGCGGG
RNAcentral lists this ribosomal RNA (861 nucleotides) under uncultured Methanomicrobiaceae archaeon. Its description in RNAcentral is "bacterial SSU rRNA". It matches the Rfam family "Archaeal small subunit ribosomal RNA", at positions 1 to 872 of the family's 1478-position model. The record is from RNAcentral. Lineage: Archaea; Methanobacteriati; Methanobacteriota; Methanomicrobia; Methanomicrobiales; Methanomicrobiaceae.